GAUGAACGCUAGCGAUAGGCUUAACACAUGCAAGUCGAGGGGCAGCAUGGUCUUAGCUUGCUAAGACUGAUGGCGACCGGCGCACGGGUGCGUAACGCGUAUGCAACUUGCCUCACAGAGGGGGAUAACCCGUCGAAAGACGGACUAAUACCGCGUACACUCUAUUUUGGGCAUCCAAGGUAGAGGAAAUGAAAUUCGCUGUGAGAUAGGCAUGCGUCCCAUUAGCUAGUUGGUGAGGUAACGGCUCACCAAGGCGACGAUGGGUAGGGGAACUGAGAGGUUGAACCCCCACACUGGUACUGAGACACGGACCAGACUCCUACGGGAGGCAGCAGUGAGGAAUAGUGGUCAAUGGGCGAGGGCCUGAACCAGCCAAGUCGCGUGAAGGAUGACUGUCUUAUGGAUUGUAAACUUCUUUUGUAGGGGAAUAAAGAGGGGCACGUGUGCCCCAGUGAAUGUACCCUACGAAUAAGCAUCGGCUAACUCCGUG
RNAcentral lists this ribosomal RNA (490 nucleotides) under uncultured bacterium. RNAcentral describes it as "partial 16S ribosomal RNA". It matches the Rfam family "Bacterial small subunit ribosomal RNA", at positions 28 to 507 of the family's 1533-position model. The record is from RNAcentral.